Molecule: ribosomal RNA, 253 nt
Filed under: uncultured bacterium
Lineage: Bacteria
Description: partial 16S ribosomal RNA
Rfam family: Bacterial small subunit ribosomal RNA
Source: RNAcentral
UACGUAGGGUGCGAGCGUUGUCCGGAAUUACUGGGCGUAAAGAGCUCGUAGGUGGUUUGUCGCGUUGUCCGUGAAAACUCACAACUCAAUUGUGGGCGUGCGGGCGAUACGGGCAGACUGGAGUACUGCAGGGGAGACUGGAAUUCCUGGUGUAGCGGUGGAAUGCGCAGAUAUCAGGAGGAACACCGGUGGCGAAGGCGGGUCUCUGGGCAGUAACUGACGUGGAGGAGCGAAAGCGUGGGGAGCGAACAGG